RNA transcript from Asparagus officinalis (garden asparagus), 4982 nucleotides. RefSeq lists it as uncharacterized. The transcript is spliced from 8 exons. Lineage: Eukaryota; Viridiplantae; Streptophyta; Magnoliopsida; Asparagales; Asparagaceae. The record is from RefSeq and is a predicted model, not a curated record.
ACCCUCCGCCAGUCUCCAGACUCCAUUUCCGCCUUCCGCGCCAGCCAAAUCUUCAGCAGCGCCAGCCGCCAGCCAAACUCCCGCUCACUCCCUGUCCGCCAGCCAAACUGCCUCAAACACAGGGUUCAGUUGCAUGCCCAUUUUUUACAUGAAGACAGGCACCUGCAAGUAUGGAGUUACAUGCAGAUUUGAUCACCCGCCACCUUGAGAGGCUAUAGCCAUGGCUGCUGCUGCACAGGGAAGCGGAACUGAAGUUGAUGCAGAACAGAACUAUUUUGAUUGUGGAAUAAUGGAAGGAGAAGGGGAUGAUCAGGGCUCAGGCUGGCUUGAAGUUAAAAAGAAACAUAGAUCCAACUCAAAGCUUUCCAUGCAAAAGGCUUCUGGGGGAUCUUUUAAAAAUAGGCAAACCUUCUCUUCAUUAAGUCAAACUUCAAAAAAUAAUGAAGUUAGAAAUAUGCAUCAUAGGUGCCAAGUCAAGCCAACUAAAGAAGGGCUCGGUUUUGAUGUCCAUUCAAAUGCUUCCUCUGAUAGCCAUGGUUCUUCAGCAGUCCUUCCUGAUCAUGGUAUUGAGUGCCUUGACAAAGUAGUUAUCAAUAAUGGGGGUGGACCCAUUGAGGUGGUCACUUGUACGUCCACAAAGGUUGCAGCCUCAGACAGAAAGCCUAAAGUAAUUCAGGGAGUUCUCGUAAAGGAAAACGUGGAUAUUAUUCCCAAAAUUAAAUGGGGUGACCUUGAAGAAGUUGGUUUGCUACUGUCCAAAGGUUGUGAAAAUUCAAGUAAAAUUGGAAACAGUGAGAGUUUAGAUGGCUCAGAUGGCACCAUGCAGGAACAUGCAGAUGUUGCAGAUUCUGGUGAACCAACAUUAAAUGCGUCAUUAUUCACUCCACCUCAAGUAGGAGAAGUUACAUCUGAAGAUGCGGAAUUGUUUCCUAUACCGCUUUCUUUGGGCGUCCAUGAUGAACGUUCUGAUGAGACCUGGAAGGAAGUUAGUGAGAUUUGUAUCAAAGAUUUGGGAUCGGUGAGUGUUAAUCCAAAGGAUGUAGUUGAAACUAGUAAGGCAGCAGAACUUGAACUUGAUGGUGACUUAGAUCCUGAAGACACAGUUAACGAAACCUGUUCUUCAUCGCCCCUUGGAUCAGUUGAUAAUGUGAUCCCUCAGGAGCCGUGUGACGAGUCUGAGAAUGUAGCACUGAAUGUCUCAGAAAUAUCUAUCACAAAUGAGAAUGCAGGCAUAGUUGAUUACCCUCCAGAUACUAAUUUGCUUUCGCAUCUAAACAAUAGUGUUGAAUUUUCUGUUGAUUCAUCUGUUACAGAAGCCUCAGAAGAUCCAAAUGGGCAAAAGUAUGACCCAACAGAAGCAGUUGAUUUUGAAGAAGGUGAGCAGGGGGAGAGCAAAGAAAGGUUCAGAGAAAGGUUAUGGUGCUUCCUUUUUGAAAACCUCAAUAGAGCAGUAGAUGAACUUUAUCUUCUUUGUGAAUUGGAAUGCGAUGUGCAGCAGAUGAAGGAAGCCAUACUUGUACUUGAAGAAGCUGCAUCUGAUUUCAAGGAACUGAAAUGUAGGGUGGAACACUUUGAGAACAUGAAACGGACUAUUUCCCAAUCAUCUAAAGAUGGUAUGCCAGUAAAUGUGAAAACAGAUCAUCGCAGGCCACAUGCCCUCUCAUGGGAGGUCCGCCGAAUGACAACUUCACCACACAGGGCAGAAAUACUGUCUUCGUCUCUUGAGGCUUUCAAGAAAAUUCAGUCCCAAAGGGCUGGCAAACCUGCAACUCAAGAUGCAAAAUACCUGAGUAAUUCACUUUCAACUAUUCGAUGUGAUCCUAGAAGUUCUCUGAGAAUGCCAUCAGAGAGUAGAACACAAAGUACAACUUCCGAAAAGCAAGGAGGGACUUCAGUUCUGGGAAACACCAAAGUAGAAAAGCUGAAUAUGGAUGCCUCAAGGCAAAGCAGAGUAGGUCUAGUGCGAAAUGGGCGUUUGCCUCUGCAAAGCCAGUCUGCUACUGGUACUGGGAAGCCUAGGAGAGAACCACUAGGACCAGUUUCUGAAACCGAAAAACAGUUAUUAAGAAAGGAUAAAACAUCAGCUGAAAGCAAGGCAGAUAAGCAGUCGAAGAUCACUGAUACUGUCAAAAAGAGCACUUCUUUAGCUGAAAAAGAAAAGGAAAAGGACAAGGAAAAACACAGUGGUGCCCCGUGGAAGCCCAUGGAUGCUUGGAGGGAGAAAAGGAACUGGGAGGAUAUACUUAAAUCUCCAAUGAGAAGUUCUACUCGAGUCUCGCAGUCCCCGGGUCUGGCUAGAAAAGGCAUGGAGCGUGCACGAGUAUUGCAUGACAAAUUGAUGUCUCCUGAGAAGAAGAAAAAGACAGCUUUGGAUUUGAAGAGGGAAGCAGAAGAAAAACAUGCACGGGCAAUGAGAAUUAGAAGUCAACUGGAAAAUGAGAGAGUGCAGAGGCUACAACGCACAUCGGAGAAAUUGAACCGUGUAAAUGAAUGGCAGGCUGUUCGCAGCUUGAAGUUGCGUGAGGGGAUGUAUGCUCGUCAUCAGCGAAGCGAGACUCGACAUGAAGCAUAUUUGGCUCAAGUGGCUAAGAGAGCUGGUGAUGAAAGCAGCAAGGUUAACGAGGUUCGUUUUAUUACUUCCUUAAAUGAAGAGAACAAAAAGCUGAUUCUGCGUCAAAAACUUCAAGAUUCAGAAAUGAGAAGGGCUGAGAAACUACAGGUAAUCAGAAUUAAACAAAAGGAGGAUACAGCAAGAGAAGAAGCUGUAUUAGAACGUAGAAAGCUGCUUGAAGCAGAAAAGUUGCAACGUCUUGCUGAGAUGCAGCGUAGAAAGGAAGAGGCUCAAGUAAGAAGAGAAGAGGAGCGCAAGGCAUCAAGUGCGGCACGUGAAGCAAAGACUCUGGAACAGCAUCGCAAAAAGGAAGUUAGAGCUAGGGCUCAGCUUGAGGAAGCAGAACUACUAGCCCAGAAAUUAGCUGAAAGACUUAGUGAAAGUGAACAGCGUCGAAAAUCUUACCUAGAGCAAAUACGCGAAAAAGCCUCCAUGGAUUUUAGAGACCAGUCAUCACCUCUAUUGCGUCGUUCUGUCAUAAAAGAGGGCCAAAAUCGAUCUAUAUCCGCAAAUAGUGUUGAAGAAUACCAAACUUCAUGCAUUUCUGGCACCGGAGAUUCUUCUAGAGGACUAGUUAAUGUCACACAGCAGCAGUCGUUGAAGCGAAGGAUAAAAAAGAUUCGUCAGAAGCUCAUGUCUCUUAAGUAUGAAUUUAUUGAACCUCCGAUUGGCAGUGAAAGUUUGGGGAUUGGACAUAGAGCUUCAGUGGGAACUGCUAGGGCGAAGAUUGGACGAUGGCUUCAGGAACUUCAAAGACUACGUCAGGCUAGAAAGGAGGGUGCUGCAAGCAUAGGAUUGAUUGUGGGAGAAAUGGUAAAGUUUUUAGAGGGAAAGGACGCAGAGCUUCAUGCUUCUCGCCAAGCUGGUUUGCUUGAUUUUGUAUCUUCUGCACUACCUGCCUCUCACACUUCAAAGCCUGAAGCCUGUCAGGUGACAGGAUACCUCUUAAGACUUCUACGUGUAGCAAUGUCAAUGCCGGCAAACAGGAGUUAUUUUCUUGCACAAAAUCUACUGCCUCCUAUUAUUCCCAUGCUCUCUGCAUCUCUUGAGAACUACAUAAAGAUUGCAGCAUCAACAAGUGGUGGAUGUAGUAAUCUCUUGACAAGUAAAGCAUCAACAGAAAAUUUGGAAACAAUUACUGAAACACUUGAUGGUUUCUUAUGGACUGUGACCACAAUUGUAGGUCAUGCACGUACAGAUGAACGACAACUCCAGAUGCAGGAUGGUUUACUGGAGUUAAUAGUUGCUUACCAAAUUAUUCAUCGGCUCCGUGAUCUGUUUGCUCUUUACGACAGACCACAGGUGGAAGGAUCACCCUUCCCUUCCUCCAUUAUCCUAAGUUUGAAUCUCUUGGCAGUCUUAACCUCCCGACCAAGAACAAUCUCUUCAAUUGAUUGGGAAUCUUGUAUACCUAAAGAUGAAGCAGACAAUAAAUUUCAACAGCCAGAAAGUUUAGCAUCUCAAGGCAUGGGUGAGAUCUCUAUGAUAAGUAGGCCUGCUGCAAUGGAGAUUGCAUAUUUACAGGUGAACGAGUCUGAUAAAGGUGCCAGAGAGUUGCAAUCAGGAAUAUUGUCUAUGCCAGAAAUUCCAAAUCAAAGGCCGUUAGAUGGAGAAUCUAUGAAGGAUUCCUCUGUUACACUGGAUUGUCAGGGCAAUGUUGGGGAUAUCACGUGUGAAGAAAGUGCUACAUGUGAAGUUCAGAACCUUGUGGCUGAAGAACAUGCCAAAUCAGUUCCAGCCCAGAAAAUUGAAAAAAACUCCAUUGAUGGUUGUGUAGAAAGAAAAAGAAUGAAUGAGCAAAAUCUUCAUGAGAAUAAAGAAAGCAAGAAAAUAUGUAGGUUGAAGCAGCCAAUGGCAUUUCUUCUUUCUGUUAUAACAGAGACAGGUCUCGUCGGUCUUCCAUCAUUAUUGACAGCAGUGCUCUUGCAGGCAAACAAUCGAUUGUCAUCUGAACAGAUUGGAUACUUUUUAUGCUGGGUAUCAUCUCCUGAGGAUUAACCACUACCGUCUGAAAGUUGUAGUUCCUGCUUUUGCCAUUGGUUAGUCUGGCAUCUGCUCAUAUCUGUUGUAUUCAUUAUAGGGGACGGGUUUGCGGUGAACCAAAAUUUUGAGAUAUUGUCACAGGACAAAGACAGCUACAAGUAUAAUGAAAGAUAAAAGAACGAAAUCAAAAGACUGGGAAAACAACUUAGGUGAAUUGAUGAACUUAAUCAUGCAGUAGUGUGGACCGACAAUUCUAAUGCACGUGAAGCCUCUUCCUGGGCAUGCCUCUUAUAUUCUUCCGUCAAAUUUUGAAGAAGUGGCUACUGGUGUGCUGAAGGUUUUAAACAAUUUGGCACUCUUGGAUAUUGCUUUUCUGCAAAGAAUGCUG